AGUGACUGUUGCCUCUGCACAUGCCACUGAUUAAACUUAUUUGCUCUGACUUUGCAUUCUCAAAUUGCCAACAAGUGCAGAUGAAAACUCUUGUUAUCUGAGAAAUAAGCUGUAAGAAACCCACUGCCAGACAUAUGCAUGUGAAAGAAGAUGAAUAACUGAACUGAGAUGCAAAUAUGCCUUAUUUGUAUGUGCAAGAUAAAGUUGUUUGCUGUACAGAAAAGUAAGUGACUUCUUAAGAAUGAAAUGACGUAGAAUAUGGCAAAGGCUUGCAGAACUGCUUUUGAAAUAUAUUAGUCCUUUUAGGGGGACUUUGAACUGUAAAUUAAAGAAAACAAGAAUCAGCAAUCCGAACAUUUGGGUCUUUUGAGGAUAUGGAUGUCUUGCUAAACAAGGACAAAGUCUGAAACAGUGAGGAAUGCAGUAGAAGCUUUCUGGUUUCAAUAAAUGUAGGGACUGAUGAGAAGAUGGGUGAAUAUUAAGUGCCAAGCUGUCUGGUGCCCUGUGAGGAAGAAAUUAGAAGGCAAAUCAUUGCAUCUAGGAAGGCUGCAGAUGAGAUGCACUCAGGAGCUGUGUUGGUAUGGUGACACCCUUUGUUCCUUUGAAUGCUGAGAGUAUUUCUGCGCAGGGGUUUCUCACUCUGGAAAGUGCUGCCUAUGGACCUGGCUGUCUCUUGAAAGAGGUAUACUGCAAUCAGUAUUGACUAAAUGGAGGUGCAAGACACCAUCCAGAAGCUGUGCUCUUGAUCAGAGGAGAGCAGGAGUUAAAAAGGCACACGUAUUUCUCUGGAUGGUUUUUGUAAAGCACUUGUUGGCUGUGCGAAUACAGGAAACUCGAGGCUGUAACCUUUGGCUGAGGAACAAAUCUUUUCAUAACACCAAGCCUCAAACAUUCACUGACAUGGGUAGAAAAGUAUUAUGCUGUUUGUGAUAAGGUUUAGUUCAGCAUGCUUUUAACCUACUAAAGCAAACUUUUGAGCAUACAGUGAUCAGCACAGAAGGACAUACUGGUUCUAAGGAUUUUGGAAUGACAGCAUUUAACUCUGCAGUUCAGCAGUGACUCAGAAUCUGCAGUUUAUGUAAAGCGCCUUGUCACAGUGAGCUGCUGGGAGCCUUGGGAGGAUGACUUUUGGUGGAGGAACUCACCUGUUUGUGCUUCCAAUGCGUCCACAUGCCUCUCCAGUGAGUGCAGAUCCAUCCUGAAAGUGUGCAGCAAUACAAAUCAGAUAGGUUAGUAUCAGCUUUCUGUUGAAUUCUCUUCUCCCCUUUAAAUUACAGUGAGGUACCUUAGAAAGGAGACUGUGUCUAAGCCCUCCAGUGACACACUUUUAUUUACAAGCUGUAUACUGGAUAAAGAGAAGGCACUUUUUCAGGGACUGUGACACAAGUACUACAAAUUUUCUGUGUAUUCUGAUACUUCAGCAAGGCCUGUCACAGCUGUUGUAUUGCCCAUGUAAUAUCAAGUAGAAAAGUAAUUAGCAAACUUAAUUGACUACUCUUUUCAUCACAGAUACAUAGAUACUUAAAAUCUUGUUCUGCAAAGAUGACUGAUUUCAUUGUCUAUUGAAUCUUUGUGACUAAAUGGUCAUUCAAGCUUCUGUGGAGAAGCAGAGACAUAACAGGCAAAUAUACCUGAAAUCUGUAGAAUAAAUUGAACUUUAUGCUCACUUACCAGAAAGAAGUCAGAACAAUCAUUUAAGAAGAGAACAGGAAUUUGCAAUUUGUGACUUUAAUUCAAAGAAAAUAUUUGAGAGGCAAAGGAAGAAAAACAAUCCAGAUGACAUUUAAAAUAUUAUUUUUCUAUAUACAGCUAUAUAUUUUUUCUAUUUUAUCUUCCAAAAGUCAAAACUCCUGCCUUACAGUCAGGUCCUGGUAUGACAGAGAGGUUUUUAGCCAAGAAAUUCUUAAGUUCAGACUUCAGAGCUGACUUUUUACGAGAUUUUUGGGCAGUGAAACUUCAGGAAGAAGAACAGAUGUAUUUGGGCAAAGUGAAGCCAAUAAAUGUGGUCUAAUUAACAGCACUUUCUUGAUUGCUUUUACCUGCUUCUUGUCAUAGUCUUUAAGAUUUAUAGAUCUGUCUGGCUGUGAAGAUAAAGUGCAGUGGGAGAGCAGCUGAAAGCUAAAAGUAAAUCAUGACACAGUCAGUGUCAUCAAGGAGUUUAUUCAAUGUGAGUGUGUUUUCCCAGUAAAAACAAUUCCUAAUGUAUUCUUCUGCAAAUUGGUCUAAGAAAGAGUGCCAGGAUUGAGUAUGCUCAGGUGAUGAGAUUUAACAAAGGAUAUUAAACUAAUGUUUGAAGGGACAGCUCACUUGCUCUGAAUUGCAGUAAAAAAUGUCCAGUGUUUUUCAAAAUUCUUCUGGACAUGUACCUAGUUCAAGUCAUUGGUAGGUAAUGCUAGCCUGUAGAGUGUCAUUUUGUUUCUAUAUUAAGAAUCUCAGGUCCUGUAGGAAUCUUAUUCACUAUUUUCUUUCUUCUGUUGUGCAGGGGUCCAGCUAAAUAGUUGCAAUAAAUCCUAACUCCUGAUUUGAGAUCAAAACAGCAUUCUUGAUAGAUUUUGUCUUAUCUUAGUAAUUGAGGAAGUAGUUAAUUAGUCUGCGGAAAUCAGUGGCAAGCAUUUUGCUGUUCCAAAAUGGAGGAAAAUGGUGUGUGCUUCUGUAAGUUGGGGAGAGGGACAUUGGUAAUGAGAAAGUGAAAUCUAAGAAGUGUUGGGAAAAAACAAAUUGUUCAUAGUAAAUGAGCACUACCGCAUUGUGUGAUUCACGUGAUUUCAGUUAUAGGUUGACCUGAAUCCAAUCCCAUUUCAAAUGCAGUGAAUGGUUUCUGUCUUGAGGUGGUGGUAAAAGGAGAAAUAUGUGAGAUUGAGUUCAUGACAUCUUCAUUACUGCACUGCUAAAAACCUUACAGUAAAAAUCAUCCUCUUACAUGUCUAUGAGACCGCAGAAUUAAUGCAUAUGAAGAGCUGAGACAUGUAAUCCUUCAUGCUAAUUCAAUAAAAACACGGUUAAUUACUUGUCUGUAAAGGAAAGUUCUCUUUUUGCUUUUCCAUUUAUGUUCUAAUCUUCAUUUAAGACCUGAACCCUUAAUUAGGAAUUAAGAAUGAAGCCUUGUAGUUAGGAGUGUGAUAAAAUUUUUUGUCCAAGUGUCUUGCAGAUGGAAAUAUUUUUCAUGAGAAUUCUUUGCUGGGUUGAAUAAGUCUGAGAUGGGGGUCAACGUGGUCCAUUCCUGUCCAGAACUCAUCACAGAUAAGCUGUUUCCCUGCUUAAUGCACAGCUGCAGAACAGGAAAGGUAUUUUCAAAGGAGUUAAAUGGUGUGUGACUGCAGGAGGCAGCUACAAUGAGCUGAAGUUUGGCGGAGGAACAAGGCUCAGUGUUAAAGCGAGUAAGUGCAUGAUCUGAACAAAUGAUUUUGAGAACAGCUGGCAAAUGUGGUGCUUGGAAAUGGUACUACAUCAUGAUCCUGGUAAGGGGACCUUUUUCCACAUCCUCUACUUUUAGGGCGGGAAUGAAUGUGUGCUGGAACUUUUAGUUCAAGGCCUACCAAGAGAAGUGGUGAAGUCUGUACUUAGCACUCCGAAAGUACGAAGAAACAUAUGGAUAUGACAUUUAGUGGUGAAUUUAGUAGUGGUAGGUUGGUGGUUGGGCUUGAUCUUUUCCAACCUAACUGAUUCUACUAUUCUAUUUUGACGACUCCAGUCCCCAGACACAAGACCUUUUUUUUUUGUAAAGGAGAUUCUGACUGCGUAUAUUCAGGAAAUGCAAACAGACUCAGCUUUGGAAGAGGAACUAGGCUGCUGGUGAAGCACAGUAGGUACCUUUUCACAAGUACAAUCACCUGAAAACAGAGUCCUUAGUUUGCUGUUUUUGUUUGUUUGCAGUACGUUCUCCUUAAAAUACAGAGGGAAGGACUUCUAUAAAAUGAAAAGGGAAGAGGGCACAGGGAAGAAGUGCACAUUCUAAAUAAUUCACCUGUAACUUCUCUGUCCCCUUGCUGUGAUUGCAACUAAUCAGAGUUACUACUGUUCUGCUAAAAUACAUGAAUUACCUCUGUGUUGUGGAAAUAUCGUGUUGGUCAGAGCGAACCCUAGAGGAAGAUCUGUUUGAGAUGAGGGUUCAUAAUCAAGUUCUGUUAGGUGAAACUGCCUUCUGAGACUUAGGUCUAUUUUGGAUCCCUCACCUGACUUACUGCCCACUGAAUAAACAAGAAAAAAUAGGGUGUCAAUCCUUUUCCCUGGGAUUUUCCUUCCGUUUGGUUUAUCAUGGCUUCUUUCUUUGUGACUCUUUCUUUAUGUUGCUUAUCUUCUGAGACCAAGAGUGAAGGAGUAUAUCCAGAUUUCCCAGUGAGAGAAGCACUGAAAGCUGCUAUGUUGUUCAAAAUAACUGCUGGAAAUUCCACUCCGUUAAAGCUGUAUCUAACAGUGUGUUCAGGCUUCUAAAUGGUCAGACUUGUCUCCCCCAAGUUUUCCUGGCAAAUUUUUUGCAUAGGUGUUUACAAGCAUGGGAAAGCUGGAUCUACCUGGAAAGUCACCUUUGGGAGAAGCACCAAACUAGUGCAUCUUAAAAAAAAGACACAUUUUUUCAGUAUUAACUUAAGGCUGAGAUUUUCCUGUCAAUCCUUUUCAGGGCCGGUGUGUGAGAGGGGAUAUUGGAGAUGACUCAUCAAUGGUCAUCUUUGUCCUGUAUCAUAUAGUUCAUGCUCCAUCACAGCUUACAAAUGUCAGCCUCCUCUGAGGGUGACAGUGUUCCUUCUCUCUGAGCUGAGAGGUUUCUGUAAAGCAGGCUGUGACUGUGGCAAUAUGGAGGCUCAGGUUUUGCUGGCAAGCUCACCUUUGGGCACGGCAGCAGACUGUCUGUGAAACCCAGUGAGUACCUCUUAGUUACCUGCACAUGUUAAACUGAGCUGCUGAGGUGGGGCAGGCGGUCAUUAAGGUGAAGUUCAGGCUGUCCCGAAGGAACAUUUACGUGCUCCCAGAGGGUCCCUGUGAAGUUACUAGCACGGCAUUCCUGAGGCCACACUGUCUGCUCAGAGCUCCCCGCUGCUGCUUG
Molecule: non-coding RNA, 5041 nt
Organism: Meleagris gallopavo (turkey)
Lineage: Eukaryota; Metazoa; Chordata; Aves; Galliformes; Phasianidae
Source: RefSeq, a predicted model, not a curated record